This 341-nucleotide unclassified non-coding RNA is filed under the name uncultured fungus. RNAcentral's name for it is "partial contains 5.8S ribosomal RNA, internal transcribed spacer 2, and large subunit ribosomal RNA". Lineage: Eukaryota; Fungi. The record is from RNAcentral.
AACGCACCUUGCGCCGCUCGGUUUUCCGAGGGGCACGUCUGUUUGAGUGUCACGUUAAUCUAUCACUUCGCACAUUUUAUUAUGUGUUGAACGUGGAUUUGGACUGUGCUGUUGCUUCGUUCAACGGCUCGUCUCGAAAUGCAUGAUUGCCUGCGGAGUCUUGCGCUGCAUGAGACUGGCGAAACGGUGUGAUAUUUUAUCUACGCUGGACUAGUCGGUUUUGACGCUAGCUGCACAAGGAGCGCUCCGGGCUUAUAAUGAAGAAGGACGAUUCGGUUCGUCCUCCAUUUUUCACCUUUGCGUUUGACCUCAAAUCAGAUGGGACUACCCGCUGAACUUAA